UACGGAGGAUGCGAGCGUUAUCCGGAAUUACUGGGCGUAAAGGGUGCGUAGGCGGUCUUUCAAGCCAGAAGUGAAAGGCUACGGCUCAACCGUAGUAAGCUUUUGGAACUGUAAGACUUGAGUGCAGGAGAGGAGAGUGGAAUUCCUAGUGUAGCGGUGAAAUGCGUAGAUAUUAGGAGGAACACCAGUAGCGAAGGCGGCUCUCUGGACUGUAACUGACGCUGAGUCACGAAAGCGUGGGGAGCAAACAGGAUUAGAUACCCU
Molecule: ribosomal RNA, 264 nt
Filed under: uncultured prokaryote
Description: partial 16S ribosomal RNA
Rfam family: Bacterial small subunit ribosomal RNA
Source: RNAcentral